This 469-nucleotide ribosomal RNA is filed under the name Polystomoidella whartoni. Its description in RNAcentral is "partial 12S ribosomal RNA". Lineage: Eukaryota; Metazoa; Platyhelminthes; Monogenea; Polystomatidea; Polystomatidae. The record is from RNAcentral.
UACUGACUGGUUAUCUUUUUUAAUGAUAUUUUUUGAUUAAUAAUAAUGAUUUUAAUUUAUUGUUUAAUAUGUAUUUUUAUUGGAUAUCUUUUAUUAUAUUUGAUUAAUUUUAUAUUUAUAGACGUGGAUUAGAGACCCGCUUAUAGUAAAUUUAAUUUGAGAAUUUUCAGUUUUAACUGAAAGAAAUUGGCAGCUGAUUUUAUUUUCUGGGGGAUUGUGUUAUUUAAAUAGAUGGUCCACUUAUUGAUUUUUCUAAUUUAUUGUUGGUGUAUAUCCGGUUUUUAUAAGAAAUGUAUAUUUUUUAUUUAAAUUGUUUUUUAAUCCAGGUCAAUAUGCUGCUNAUAGUUGGGUAUUUAUGCAAUACAUUAUAAUUAUUUUUGUUUUUAAUUAGCUUAGGUUUUAGGACUCAGUAGUAAUAUGAAAUGGUUUUGUUUGUGUGAAUUGAAUUUAGUUGGGGUACACAUCGUCC